RNAcentral lists this long non-coding RNA (12492 nucleotides) under Solanum tuberosum (potato). Its description in RNAcentral is "long non-coding RNA (STUB_LNC002634)". The record is from RNAcentral. Lineage: Eukaryota; Viridiplantae; Streptophyta; Magnoliopsida; Solanales; Solanaceae.
CCACGCCCAAAAGUGACUCGGGUCUAUCUUCAAACAACAAAAAAGCUAAAAAAAAGAAGGAAAGUAAUCGAAAGUAGAGGUCCAAGAACACUUCUUCCAGAAAUCACAUCAAUGUUCCUCCGAAAUUGCUCCAAAAUUCUUCAAUUGUUGUUGAACCAGUAUUGUUGAGUUUGAGUGAGUUCUACAUAUACACUUAACUUCUCACAAGGGCCAUGGAAUCGACCUCCUUGAAGACCUCUUCCGCUCAAAAUGGGUUCAAACAACAAAUCUAGGAGCUUGUAGCCAUGACCCAACAAAAACUUCGACAAGAAUCAGCUGAGGUGAUAAAUACUCUUGAAUCUUUCCCUCUACAUAGAAUGAGCUCCGAAGAUCUGAUACAACUAUGAAGAGAUCCAUCUCCAAGAGGUAUUUUUGACUUAACUGACCCCUAGUUGUUCCCUCUUUUGCUAUAAAUAACCAGCAAUCAAAGUGUGGAUCAUUUUUCGUUGUUACCGUCUCUCUUAUAUUUGCAUCUGAUUUUCUGAUUCAUGUUGACUUGUCACUUUAAUCCUUGAUUCCUUAGUUGUGUAUUGAAUCCCUUGUUUUGCAUCUUCUUAGUCCGUAUAUUUGAGAUUUUUCUUUGUUCUAUCACUAAGAUUUUCCUUGCUAGUUGUGGUAGUUCGUGUAUGUUAUUAAAUUUAUUGACAUUGGUACCUGCAAAAUGAACAAUGUGGUUAGCUAAGUAAUCUGCCAAUUUGUUUCCUUCCUUGUAUGUGUAAACCAUCUCACCUCUUCUUGCUCCAUCCAUAAUUUUAUGCAUUGUAUAUCGACUAAGAUUGAUCAUAGAAUUUCCCAUACUCCAUCCAAUACCUCUUUACUGAUCAAUGAAUCAGUUUCCAUAAUUAUAGGUAGCAAGUCAUUCUCUAUACAGUACUUCAAUCCUGCCUUGAAUGCCUUCACUUGUGCAACUAUAGCAUAACAUGCUUUAAUAGUACUAGCUUUUGCAAAGAUAAGUUGCCUUUCCCAUUUCGAAUACAAAAGGUUGUAGAACUAGGCCCAUGAUUCCCUUUACUGGUGCCAUCAAUAUUGCAUUUAUAUCUUCCCAAGAGAGCAUGCACCCAAUACACAACUCUACAGUAUACUAGUGGUGAGUAUUCUUCCAGUAAUUUGACUAUCAGAGGCCAUGUAUUAGGAAGGUUUUUCAGCCAUGGAUAUCUACUUUUGGCAAAGAGAUACAAAGAAUUGUUAAUCUCCCUAAUCAUGUUAUGAGUAGACAUACACCCUUCAUGCUUAACAAUAUUCCUUCUAUUUCAUCUUUGCCAAAUAAUGAAAAUGGGAACAACAUGUAACAUGGGUUUCAACUUACUUCCACAAUCAGCUUCCCACCAUAAUUUUAUCACAGGUCUUAGUUGAACCAUUGGACCUUGAAUACUUGUAGCCUCUGUAGAGUGUCUCCAUAAACAAUAUGUUGUGGGGCACUAAAUAAAAAGAUUAUCACAUGUCUCCUCUGCAUUGGUGUUGCAAAUACAACACCUGACAAAGUUGAUAAUUCUCAUUCUCAACAGCACCUGUCCUAUUGGAAUUCUCAUAUGCCACAGUCUCCAUAACAAAAAAAAAAGAUUUUAAAAGGAAAUCUUUUCUCCCAUAUAUACAUGAUCUUAUCAAACCUAUCAUUUUUCGUUCUCAAUAAAUCCCAAACAAUACCAACAGAGAAUUUACAUGUACCGGUAGGCAUUCACCAUAGCUUGUCUCUUUCAUCAAAUCUUAGUAUUCUGCCCAAAUUUGAAGUAAUGUGAUUACAAACUUCUUCUGACAAAUUCUCAUGUAGCAAAGUGUUAUUCCAUCCCUCCACACGCAUUAGUUGUUGCACCUCUUCUAGUUGACCAUGAUCAUGGUUAAUAGGAAAGUAGUAGUGCAGUGCCCCAACUAUGUCUAAUUAUCAAAGAGGAAAUACAUAAUUACCCCAUGGAGCUUAUACCUUUUUUUUAAGAAGACACCUUACCUUUACGAGGGUCCUAUUACCCCACGAAACCAUCCAAAAGCACAACAAAUACAUCAUUUUUUCACCAUCAGUGCUCUCAAUCCAAGAGCGUGUGCCACACCUCCAACCCAUUUAACAAAGGCCGGGUUUUAUCCUAACCCAUUCAUUUUUAACCCAUAACCCAAACCCUAAGAAAUUUCCAAUCCAUUUCACUUUCACCUACCCUCGUCUCUCUCUCUUCAACCGAUCAAAACCCUAAGAAACUUCAUGAGGCGAAGCUAGUUGGUAACAUUGCUGGUUGAAAUUUGUUGAAUAGUGGUGUCGGAACGAAGAAGUGAAGGCUCAUAGGUUAGUUAUUUGAAAAAUCUUUGAAAAAAAGUUUAUUUUACAUUGUAAGUGAAUUUUGUAGUGAUAAGUCGUUAGUUUAUUUUACAUUGUUUGAUGCGUAUUUCGUUUGUCUUGCAUUUGACAUCUCUCCCUCAAAACCUAAUCAUAUGAAAUUGAUUUCACAGAUUUUAAACAAAAAAAAGUAAUUAAAAUGAGAAAUUGCAGAUCUCCAAUGGCUAACAAUGGAGAAUUUUGGGAAGGUGAUCUAUUUAAUGAAGAAGCUAAUUCAAAUUGGGAAUGCCACAUGGCGUUUUAACAUUGGUUGGAUGUUGGUUUUUUAUUCCUUGACGUGCCCAACCUGCGUGACAAAACUGAUGGGUUUGAAACGGGUCAAAAUGAUGUAUUUAUUGUGCUUUUGGAUGGUUUCGUGGGGUAAUAGGACCCCCGCAAACUUAGGGUGUCUACUUAAAAAAAGGGUAUAAGUUCCAUGGGGUAAUUAUGUAUUUCCUCUUUGAUAAUUAGACAUAGUUGGGGCACUGCACUACUACUUUCCUAUUAACCAUGAUCAUGGUCAACUAGAAGAGGUGCAACAACUAAUGCGUGUGGAGGGAUGGAAUAACACUUUGCUACAUGAGAAUUUGUCAGAAGAAGUUUGUAAUCACAUUACUUCAAAUUUGGGCAGAAUACUAAGAUUUGAUGAAAGAGACAAGCUAUGGUGAAUGCCUACCGGUACAUGUAAAUUCUCUGUUGGUAUUGUUUGGGAUUUAUUGAGAACGAAUAUCAAACAUUGCACUAACCAUUUCUGGUUCCCACCAGAUCUCUUGGUCCAUGAAAUCUCUAGCUUGUAGCAUAAGUUUCCAUACUUGAGAUCCCCCUCUCCAUUCUACCACUUGUGGCCUAUGUCUUUUGUAGUGAUUGUUCCACAUAAAGUUAAACCAUAAUGUGUUGGUUGUUCUAAAAUUUCACCAUAAUUUAGCAAAGAUUGGUUUUGACACAUCAAAUAGAGAUUUAAAACCAACCCCCCCCCCCUUCCGCCUUUCCUCCUUUGGUAAACAUAUGUCAUUCCAAGCAAUCCAGUGUUUACCCUUCCCUCCUCCUUGGAAUUCCAUAGGAAUUUAGCAAAAAUCCUAUGUAUAUCAUGUAUAACACAUUUGGUGGAUAAAUAGCAGAAAGGAAGUAUAUAGGAAUACUUUGUAAUACAUGAUUAAUCAACACUGUUUUUCCUCCAAAAGAUAGCAACCUUCUCUUCCAUACCUGCAAGAUGCUUUGAAUUUUCUUGAUUAGCUCUGAAUAAUGGACCUUUUUCUUCUUAGCAUGCCCAAUCGGACGACCAAGAUAAGUCAAUGGAAAGCUUCCUCUUAUAAAUCUAGUAGUAUCUUGAACUAUGGCCUGUACAGUCUUGUUGAACAUGUAAAAUAAACACUUUCCUUUAUUAAUAAGUUGUCCUGAUUGAGCUUCAUACAGCUGAAGAGUUUCCAUGAUUAAUUGCAGAGAUUUUUUGUCAGCAGAUGUGAAUAUGAUGGUAUCAUCUGCAUAAGCAAGCUGAUUUAGUUGAUCACUCCAUUUGGGUAAACAAAAGCUCUUAAGCUCAUAGUUGUAAAAUAUAUGGUUAAGAGCCUUAGUUAAUACUUAUGUUGAUAAUAUAAAAAGAGCAGGAGAUAAAGAUUCCCCUUGCUUUACCCCUCUAGUGGAGUGAAAAAAUCCAUGAGCAUGCCCAUUAACAACUACAGAAUACCAAUUAUUGGCUACCAGCCUCCAAAUCAUAUCCAACAUCCUGUUAUCAAAGCCUAUUUUUUUCAAGACUUUAGAAAAAAACUUCCAAUCCACCCUAUCAUAAGCUUUAGCUAUGUCUAACUUGAUGACCACAUUAGCAGGUUUCCCCCUUUUUUCUGAUCUCUGAGAUUAUUUCUUGUGCCAAUAGCACAUUUUCAGUGAUAUUUCUUCCUUUCACAAAUCCUGAUUGGUUAGGAGAUAUUAGUUUUGGUAGUAUCCCUUCCAACCUAUCAUGUAUAAGUUUGGAAAUGAUUUUAUUAAUACAAUUGUUCAAACUAAUUGUCCUAAAAUCAGAAAAAGAUUGAAUAAUAUCUUUUUUAGGUAAUAGGACAAAAUUUGUAUGAGUAAUAGACUUAGGCAGUGAGUAACCUGAAAGAAAGCAUAAACCACUUUCAAAAUAUCUGAACCAACAAUAUCCCAACAAGUUUGAUAAAAGCGACUGUAAACCCAUCGGGUCCACAAGCACUCUCAGCAUUAAGCUCAAAUACAACUUCCUUAUCUCUUCUUCUUUUGGUUAUGCAUUCAGCCUAUCAUGUUCAUCUUGUUCUACUUGAGGAUGUAUACACUAUAACAAGGACAACCCAAAAUUAGUAGCUCCCCCAGUGAACUUAUCUUUAAAAAAAAGCACACAGCCUCUUUUGCAACCUCUUCACCCACAGCCUAUGAACCAUCUGCUUUCAUCUUUUUGUUAAUAUUCAACCUCUUUCUUCUUCCUUUUAUCGGACAAUGAAAAAAUCUAGUAUUUCUAUCUCUUUCCCCAAACCAUCAUCCUAGCUUACUGACUCCAAUACUCUUCUUCAUAGUGAAUAUAGAUCUUUAAUUCGGCUUGUGCCUGAUGUAAUACAACUCUAUUUUCUGGAGAUGGACAUUUUUCAAAAAAACUCUUCUUUAAUUCUCACAAUUUCCUCUCUAAUGGCCAAUUGAUUGAAUAUGUCUCCAAAUUUCUCCUUGCUCCACUUUGAUAGUGCAUGUUUAGUCCUUUUCUUCUUCAACUUGAGUUGUAAAAAUAUAUCCUCCACAUCAUCAGAAACCUAAUUUUGUAGCACCAUAUCUCUAAAGUCUUCACUUUCUGUCCAAAACUUCAGGAACCUGAAGGGUUUAACAAUAUUCUGAUAGUUAUUCCCACAAGUUAAUAACAAUGGAACAGGGUCUGGCUAGACUUUGCAAAUUUGUAUCACCAUAUAAAUCAGAAAACCUUUGGUUCACCACCACUCUUUCCAGCCUUUUGAAAAUACAUUCACCAUUUACUCUAUCAUUCCACCAAGUAAAAGGACUCCCAGAAAAGUUGAUAUCAGAAAGAUCACAAGAGUUAAUGUUGGAAUUAUGACCCCCUUUAUUCUGUAAAGGAACAUGUACUAACUACUUGUUCUUUACUGUUUGUGAGUUCUAGUAAAUAAUUUCGUAAAAUAAUAAUUAGUUCACAGCUUUGUAUUAUUUAUCUCAACUCCAAACAGCAUACAAAGAUUACACACCUAGGUAAUCUAAGGAAUUAUAAAUUCUAAUUCCUAGCUACCAAGACAAAAAAAUCCAUGUUUAAGUCUUCUGCCGUCUGUCAAAUUUCUCAAACUUGUUAGACGAAUCCUACACACACACUUAAUUGUAAUCAAAACUCUUAACUACAAUCUUACAACUUUUUCCUUACAAACUCGCAACACUCCCCAAGUAAAUCUCAAAACUCUCUCAAACUCUUGAUCGUGUUUUGAUCUUCUCUCUAUAUAUGUAAGUGCGCAAACUUCUUCGAAGAAGUUAUUGCCCUAUUUAUAGAUUAAACCUCCUCAAAGUCUUGUUCAACUCGAACUUGACUUUGCUGCAUCAUCAACUCCUUGUUCAACUCGAACUUGUCUUCAGUUUUCUUUCUUGACUUCACAUUGAUUUAUUUCCUUCUUGAACUCUUUAUUUACGCCCCUUAUUUCCUUCUUUGAUCUUGCUUCGUACUUCUCUUAGGAUUUAUACCUAUGUUUACACUUUGACUUAUUAUGCGCUCCUUUUUCCUUGUAGGACUCCUUUAUAAAAAGGGAACUUUCUGUACUGGUUGUUUGUCGAAAAAGUAAUCCCUCCACUGCUUUAUAACUUCUAAUUCGCGUGGUUGACGUUCUCCUUAUCCCAGUCGGAUUCGUUCUGAAAGAAACAUGUCGCUCAACCGGUUCCUUUCAUUUGUUUCUCUAUUUGUCAAUUAUCAAAAUCUUUCUCGAUCUAACAAAUUCCCCAUUUUUGAAGAUGACAACCCAUUGCUUCUUGUGUGAAUUGAUCAAUUUGUGUUAUGUCAGUUUCUUAAAGUACAACACACAAAGCAAACACAUUAGAGGAUCAAGGUAGACCAAUUGGGUUAUAAAUAUUACACAAGUAUGCACUUCCCCCUUUUGACAUCAUAAAACACCGUGAAGGCAUACACCACACUAAGAGAAGCAAAUUCGAUACUCAUGGCCACUGGGGCUAUCACCUAUACAAACACUUAAAAUUCAAGAACUCAGUUAGCUAUAGCAAAGCAUUUGCACAAACAUUGGAGAUAGACAUGAACCAGAAACUCAAACCCAACAUUAGCAUUAAUCAAAAAGCAUAUACACAAUAUGACUUCAAUUUCAGCUUAUUUUUUUUCGUUUUGUAUCACCUUUAAGGAACUUGUUCAAUCAAUCAUGUGCCCUCCGGAGAAACAAUAGUUCAUUUAUCUCUAACCCCCUAAAUCAGUAAUCACCUUACCUAAGAGCACUGUCCGCUUCCCAAAGUUAACAACUCUAAUUUCAAUAGAGUCAUCUUUAAAUUCAAUAGAGUCAGUAAGACGAACAUGUUCUCUCAAUCUGUUCCCUAGACGUAGUACUAUCAGGUGCAGUACCAACUAUAAUAAUUUUUUACAUCAACCCUAAAUCCCAAUAGAAGGACUAAGUUCGACAGAGGGGUCUCCCAUUGUUUCCCCCUCACUAGAUGCACCCAAGUUGAGCCUAGAAAGUGAACUUUGUUCAAAUAUAGGGUCCCCAAAAUAUUCCCCCUCACAAGGUACAUCCUCCAAAACUUCCUCAGUAAUUUUAGACACACCCAAUACAGAUUCCCCCUAAGAACCAGCACAACCUACAUUCUACACCACAACCUAUAUUUUAUAAGCCACCAACGUAGAGGCGUCAUCUCAACCAUAGAAUCAGAUAGACCAGCACACUUAGAAUCUCCAAGAAUGUCAUUAAGAAACAUAAAUUGUAAUUAAUCAAGCAUAGACAUGUUUCUUGAAGAACACUUUAUUCCACAAUUUUAGAAAAAAAGGAUUUCUUGGUUAAGAAGUUUAUGGAAGAGAAGGGUGUGAGUUGUAGAGAAACACUAGGAUAAGGCUUUAAAUAGGCUUUUUAAGAAGAUGUUUGUUUAGUAGUAUUGAGGACGUGAAUAUAUGUGGAAGGAACAGGUACAUAUGCAUUGAUUUUAUAUUUAAUUAUGAAUAAUUGUAGUGCACAUACCUUAGAUCUCUGAAAAAUGCUGAAUUUUGCUCCAAUUUUACUAAGCCGUGCAUGAGUAGCUUGGCUUUAAAAGUGGUAUAGAGACAUACAACUAAAUGUACAAGACUGAGCAUAAAAUUCAUGAUUAGAAGGCAGUAUGUGAAAUGUUCAUUAGCCACUGAGGGAUACUCAUGUGAUUUUAAUCAUCCCCAAGUUCCAACAUGUUCCUUUAAAAGUAUUUCUUUAGUCUUGCCUACUUUCCAACUUCUUUGAUUUGACCAAAAUGAAUUUUCACCACAAAAACUACUAUUCCAUCCUUUUCUUCUACAGGUGAGAGGAAUUUCUUCUAGUUUCAAUCAUGUGUCUCAAGCAACAACUGUUCAUAUAGAAUGUUGCUUUCUUCCUCUCACUUUUCCUGCAAAUUCAAAGGUUAGAUUUAGGAACCCAUACUAGCUUGGGUCCUUUGUAUUGAUAAAAAGGAUGAAUAAGAUCUCUAUGUAUCCAUUUAGGUAGAUUAUAUUUCUUUUGAGUAUACAUGUUCCUUUGAGGUGUCUUAUAGGUGCCUUUUGUUUUAUUGUUAAUGGUGAAUUUGUAUUUAGGGCAAUUUAUCUUAGAGUGACCUGAAUUACCACAGAUGAUGUAUAACAAAGGGUUAUCAAUUCUGGACUGAUCAAAGCCUAUUCCAGUUUUUUUAUUUCGGUGGUUAUUUCCCAGAUGUGAUACAAUCAUAGAUGACUUCGUCCAUUUAUUUGCUUGUUCAAGCUCAUAUUUAGUCCUAGUUAGUUCAAGUCUUAUUUUUGUUGAUUUUUCUCUCUCAGAACAUAAUUCAUUUUUGAGCCUUUUAAGUUCAUGAUCAUCUUUUGACUUAUCACAGAUUUUGUCCUUACCUGUUUCUUUGAGUUUUAGGAUUUCGAUUUUAUUGGACAGAUUCCAAGACUCUAGUUGCUGAACUUUUUGUGAUAAAAGCUUAUUUUUCUCUUUCAAGUCAGCAUUGAGUUUUUCAAGAUCUAUAUACUCAAAUUUUAAACUGGUUAGGGAGGCAAGUAUCUGAUUCUUGGUUUAACUAGUUCCUGAAUUGUGUCUAUAGAUGUAAGCAUUAAAAAGGAUAUGUUUUUCUUAGUGAAAUUUAUUAACUUAUCUUUGAGAUCAGAAAGGUUUACCUCCUUUUCUACACAGUCUGAAUCAGGUUCAGGCUCCGAUUCUUCUAUGGCCAUCAAGGCAAUAUCAUCAGCAUCGUCUUCAUACAUCUCUGAACCUGUUCCCCAUGCAGCAUACAUAGCUUGCUCCUUCUCUUUGUUUUUUUUUUAAAAUUUCCCUCUUCUCCUUUUCAGCUCUUUCUGUUUUCCAUUCUACCUCCCACAUAGGACAAUCCUUAAUUUGAUGAUCAGUUUUUCCACACUUGAAGCAUCCUCCACUUUAUGGUUUCUCUGUAUUCUUUUCUUUAGUGGGUGGUACCUUUUUUCAGAAUUUAUGCCCCUUUUGAAGAGUUUCUUGAAGUUUCUGUUGAUCAGUUCUAAGUCUUCAUCAUCUAUAUCUGAUUCAUCACUUUCAAUUGCUUUGAGUCCAAGAUUUUUUUCUUUGUUUCUCUCACCUCUUUUGUCAACAUUCAUCUCAUAUGUCUUGAGGUUACCUACCAGUUCAUCCAAAGUCAUAUUGGUUAAAUCCUUGGCUUUUCUGAUUGCAGUAACUUUUAUUUCACAUGAUCUAGGCAAGGUCAUAAGCACUUUGUCUACUUGUUCCUCAGUGGUGUAUACUUUUCCCAAGGAGAUUAGCUCGUUUACUACAGUAGUGAAUCUACUGAUCAUAUCUUGAAGCGAUUCACCUGAUUUCAUCUUGAAGGCUUUAUAUUCGGAGCAUAGCCUAGCAAUUCUAAAUUUUCGAACUUGAGUUGUACCUUCAUGAGCAUUCUGUAGAGUAUCCCAUAUUUGUUUCACGGAGGUACAACUUGAGAUGCGAUUAAACUCAUCAGGUCCUAGUCCACAUACAAGUAUGCAUUUGGCCUUUGCAUUUUUUCCCAGCAUCUUAUAGUCAGCUUCUCCAUAUUUUUCUUUAGGUUUUGGAACAUCGUUUCCUUCAUUAUACUUAACGGUAGGGAUUAAAGGCCCAUCAGUGAUUCUAACCCAUAGUUCAUAGUCUUCGGCUUGGAUGAAAUCCUCCAUCCUUGUCUUCCACCAAGAGUAGUAUUGUCCAUUAAAUAAUGGCGGUCUGUAGAUGUGUUGCCCUUGACCAUCCUUGAGAGGGGGUGCAGAAUUCAUAGUGAUCUUUAUAAUCUUGAGUUAUUAGACUCUUGAUUAAGAUAACCUGCUCUGAUACCAAUUGUUGGAAUUAUGACCCCCUUUAUUCUGUAAAGGAACACGUACUAACUACUUGUUCUUUACUGUUUGUGAGUUCUAGUAAAUAAUUUCGUAAAAUAAUAAUUAGUUCACAGCUUUGUAUUAUUUAUCUCAACUCCAAACAGCAUACAAAGAUUACACACCUAGGUAAUCUAAGAAAUUAUAAAUUCUAAUUCCUAGCUACCCAAGACAAAAAAACCCAUGUUUAAGUCUUCUGCCGUCUGUCAAAUUUCUCAAACUUGUUAGACGAAUCCUACACACACACUUGAUUGUAAUCAAAACUCUUAACUACAAUCUUACAAUUUUUUCCUCACAAACUCGCAACACUCCCCAAGUAAAUCUCAAAACUCUCUCAAACUCUUGAUCGUGUUUUGAUCUUCUCUCUAUGUAAGUGCGCAAACUUCUUCGAAGAAGUUAUUGCCAUAUUUAUAGAUUAAACCUCCUCAAAGUCUUGUUUAACUCGAACUUGACUUUGUUGCAUCCUCAACUCCUUGUUCAACUCAAACUUGUCUUCCGUUUUCUUUCUUGACUUCACUUUGAUGUAUUUCCUUCUUGAACUCUUUAUUUACGCCUUAUUUCCUUCUUUGAUCAUGCUUCGUACUUCUCUUAGGAUUUAUACCUAUGUUUACACUUUGACUUAUUAUGCGCUCCCUUUUCCUUCUAGGACUCCUUUAUAAAAAGGAAACUUUAUGUACUGGUUGCUUGUCGAAAAAGUAAUCCCUCCACUGCUUUAUAACUUCUAAUUCGCGUGGUUGACGUUCUCCUUAUCCCAGUCGGAUUCGGUCUGAAAGGAACAUGUCGCGCAAUCGGUUCCUUUCAUCUGUUCCUCUAUUUGUCAAUUAUCAAAAUCUUUCUCGAUCUAACAGUUAAUACAGAAGGAAAAAUCUUCAUAUUCCUGAGGAUACACAGGUAAACCUCCAAUCUUCUCCUCUACCCCCAUUAUUACAUUGAAGUCUCCACCCACAAUCCAAGGCAAUGAAAAAUUGUAGCUAAGGGAAAAAAUAUCAUCCCAAAGUCUUAACCUUUCAUUAGCAUUACAUUUAGCAUAUAUCAUUGUUGUGAUCACUUGAUUACCAUACUUUAAAGUAAGAUGUAAGGAGAGUUUCUAUUCAGUGUAUGAACCAAUUCCCACCUAGAUAUGUUCUCUGAUAAAAACCCAAAUUCGGUCAUUCCUAUUAUAAUUCACAUAGCUCAUCCCCAACCUCCUUUUGUACCUUUGAAUAUGUCUAGUAUUCUGAAAUGGUUCCAUUAGAGCAAUCAUAUCAAAUUUAUGAUGUCUAUUUAACAUAUGCACUCCGUGAAAAGCAUUUUGUGUGUUCACUGAUCUAAUAUUCCAAAAAAAGCUUUCACUAUCAUUGAGGUACUGCUUUCACCCCUCUUUUGGCAUGUAUCCUUGUUGGAAUGCUAUUGCUUGAGCUUUCUCCCUUGCUUUUACCUUUUUUGGAUUUAGGAAAAUUCUAGGAGAUAGCCUUGCCUCCUUGCUUACUUUAUUGAUAAUGUUAUUGUUGUCUUCCUCUUCUUUAUCUUCUUCUCCUGUGUAGUCAGCUCCUUUUCCAUUAUUUUCUAAUGCUAAAAUUUGUUUGGAAUCUGCAGAGUCCUUAUACUGGCCUUGGUGUGACACAAGAGCAUGCAGCUUGUUCAAUGGAUGUGAUUUCUGAUCUGCACCAGCCACUCCCCCCACCAUAUUUGUCUGCCCAGUAUCUCUCUCAAUUUUCCACACUUGCUUCUGUAUAAAGUCAGGUGGGAAUCUAUCUUCUGCUGUUGUGACCACUUUCAGUGGUCUCUGAUCAAUAACAUUUGUCAUCUCCCUCCUGUAUGUGAGAUCUGUCAGACCAUUCUGAACUGUACAUAUAUGUAUUUUCUUCUCUUUAUAAUCCCUUCAGUAUUUUCCUCGAAGUUUUGACCAAAAUAAGCCAUUGUUUAAAUCAAUNNNNNNNNNNNNNNNNNNNNNNNNNNNNNNNNNNNNNNNNNNNNNNNNNNNNNNNNNNNNNNNNNNNNNNNNNNNNNNNNNNNNNNNNNNNNNNNNNNNNUGACAGUCACGUUUUAUAUAUAAAACGUGACUGCCAGCAACGUUUUAUAUAUAAAACGUGACUGCCAGUAACGUUUUAUAAUAUGUAAAAUUUGCAAGAUUCGAUCUUUAAUUGCAGAGCCCGUGACGUCUCACUUUAGUUGUAAAACAUGAAUCUACAGUAACAAAAUAUAAAACGUUACUCAAAGUAACGUUUUAGCUCUAAUACGUGAUUCAAGAUAACGAAGUAUAAAACGUUAUUCACAAUAACGUUUUAUUUCUGUUUGCUCCGUGAACUUUUGCCUUUUUCCCCAUUAAAUUUUUUAAAAUAAAAUAAAGUAUAAAACGUUACUGUGAACCACGUUUAUACUAGUUUUGUAAAAAAAUUUAAAACAUACUAUUUUGGUGAAUUGAUUUAAACAAUGGCUUAUUUUGGUCAAAACUUCAUUUUCCUCUGUAGGACCUUCCACUUCAUCAGUUGUGAUAUGUUCAGUGUUCACAUUCCCAUCUGCAUAUGCUUCCUUCAUUUCAAUCUCACUGACAUGAUUACUACUAUCUAUUGUGUAUUAGAAGUAGUGAGAUUUUUAUAUUCCUUUUCUGUGCAUGCCUUUUCACUUUGUUGCCCUUAUCAUCUGCUCCUUUGUCCAGUAUUGUAAAAGAAUUACUUAUCUCCUC